Molecule: ribosomal RNA, 270 nt
Filed under: uncultured bacterium
Lineage: Bacteria
Description: partial 16S ribosomal RNA
Rfam family: Bacterial small subunit ribosomal RNA
Source: RNAcentral
GACGAACGCUGGCGGCGUGCUUAACACAUGCAAGUCGAACGGAGAUUAUUAAUGAAGCUUGCGAUUUAAUAAUCUUAGUGGCGGACGGGUGAGUAACGCGUGGGCAACCUACCCAUAAGCGGGGGAUAACAGUCGGAAACGACUGCUAAUACCGCAUAAGCUAUUAAGGUCGCAUGACCUAAAUAGUAAAGGUGGCAUUUAAAGAUGCUAUCACUUAUGGAUGGGCCCGCGUCUGAUUAGCUAGUUGGUGAGGUAACGGCCCACCAAGGC